AACUCCGGCUUCACAGUUUACAUUUUUUUCCCCAUCGGGGUCAGUUUUUACUUGCUGAAGCACAAUUGAUUCGGCCUUCACUUCCGGGCUCAAAACAAACACUGGUUUUAAGCAUUCUGCUCUCCCAGCACCGCGUGGCUGAAAGUGGAAAAAAUAACAUGUGAGACAGGCUGGGCUUUUGAUGAUACCUCCUUAUGACAGACACAUCGAAAACCACCGAUGGUUCUUCCGACUUAGAUUGUGUGUUUAUUUGGGGUGAUUGUGGAGAAGGGGCUGCUGCAGAUGAUGGGUGAAGCUAACACCUCCCAAAUCAGCCCUUGAUAAUGUCACUGACUGGAUUCAAAUUCAGCAACUACCACUUACCGGCUAUGUGACUCUGGGGACCCAGCCCCUCCCUUGAGAAUCCAGGUUCCUAACUUCUGGUCUCCCACGCCCUCCGUGCUAUGCAGUGUCAGCCCAGUGUCUGGCUCACAGCAGCCCUGGUGAGUAUCCCUUGGGGAGUACCUUUACCACCUGUGUAUUACAGCUUCCCAAGGAUAAGGAGUAAGGGAAAGAAGCCA
Callithrix jacchus (white-tufted-ear marmoset) is the source of this 560-nucleotide non-coding RNA. Lineage: Eukaryota; Metazoa; Chordata; Mammalia; Primates; Cebidae. The record is from RefSeq and is a predicted model, not a curated record.